CUCUUAAGACAACUAUGUUGUCAUGUCAUGUAUGGUAGCUACUAGCUACAUUCUAGUUCUUAAUAUUCCUUGAUUAUUUUAGGAUUAGAAUGGAUGUCUUUUGAGGACUUGGCCAAGUAGGAUCUAUCAAAUCUGGAAGUUGGAUGAUCCGUGUUCCACAGUGAAGAAAUUGUAGGAUCAAUUAAAGCUAAAAUGGAGUAACUUAAUGAAUCUAGGAGAAUGAAUCAUUUGCUUCCGAGAAGAGUGAAAAGUUGUAGUCAUCUUUAGUCGUUUUAACUUAUUUAGGGACACUGUUUGCGGACGACUGGUGACUAAAUUUAUGACCACAAUAAAUCCCAACGAAUUUUUACUAACUUUUGGAGAAUGCAUGAUGUAAACCUACAUAUAUGCAGUCCUCAAACCUCCUCCUGUAAGCAUGAAUAUGCAUGUGACGAGGGUUGCCCUCUUUCUCUUCAAUAAUUAUUGCAUUUCCUUGCUAUGAAAACUUUUAUUUAAAGAUAUAGUCAAGUACUUAUAAGUGAUAGCAAAUACUUGUAUGAAGUUGCUUAAGACAAUUUAUGAGCAUGGAUUUUUGUCAAAAAAUGUUGUCAUUACACAAUUGAACACCUGUUUUUCCAUCAUGUUGACUCGGUAUUGCUCUUUUUCUGUAGAACCUUCCAAAUGCAUUGAUCUUCUGUUAUUUCACUUCUAUAUUUUGC
This 698-nucleotide long non-coding RNA is filed under the name Daucus carota (carrot). Its description in RNAcentral is "long non-coding RNA (DCAR_LNC005879)". Lineage: Eukaryota; Viridiplantae; Streptophyta; Magnoliopsida; Apiales; Apiaceae. The record is from RNAcentral.